Molecule: long non-coding RNA, 5815 nt
Filed under: Homo sapiens (human)
Lineage: Eukaryota; Metazoa; Chordata; Mammalia; Primates; Hominidae
Description: HSALNT0269079
Source: RNAcentral
AUCAUGUGAUGCCCUGUGCAGCCUUGCGGCUCUGCAGAGGCCCCAUCAGCAAGAAGCCUCUCACCAGAUGACUCUCCUCAACCAGCUUCUAGAACUGACUGCUUGGGAGUCCGUGGACACCUGGUUAAGGAUUCCUAUGGACAGAUCAAUUAACCCAAGGGCUCCAGGAGAUGCAGAUCAAAGACCGCCACACAAGAAAGAGGCCACACAGAUAAAGAGCCCAGGACCUGCUGUCAGACCUCCCCAGAUUCAGAUUCUUAGGCCUGCCCCUUAUAGGCUGUGUGACCUCGGACAAGUUCCUUAUUUACUCUGAGCCUGAGUGUCCUCGCUCGUAAAAUGGGUCUAACAACGACCACCUCCAAGAAAGAUCACGAUGCUGAAAUGACUCAGAACAGUGCCUGGAGUGGAAGAGCUGCUGGGAAAAUAAUAACUGCUAUUUCUACAUCAGUUAUGCCAGUUCUUUUUGACCUAAGAAACUCCAGCGCUUUUAAUACAAUCAAACUGGGUUAUUGGUGACUUACAGAGGAGACCCUAGGCAGGUAACUAUUGAACCUUGAAAACCGUAACAUGGACACAGAGUAGAGAGCCCAUUUAUCUCAACUGGAUUCUUCUCAGUGGACUUCGAGCUUCUUAUCAGAAAAACACUUUGAUGACAGCGCUUAGUGCUUAACAGCUUAAGAGCAGUUCAAACAUGCGCCAGAGGCUUGCUGAGGAGGCCCGCCCUCCAGAUUCUGCAAAUAGAUACACUGGGGUGAGCCUGCAGCCCAAUUUGCCCAGGACUGUCCUGGUUAAUGCUUGCGGUCCCCGUGUGAUUAUUAAUAGUAUCUGUUGUAUCCAUACGAGCGUCCCAAUUUAGAUGAUCCUAUAGAUGGUCACUGUUGAUAAGGACCAUGGCUGCCUUCUCCCUUAGCUGCCAAGCUGUGUAUAGGAUAUUGUUUCUCCUUGGCAGAAUUCAGAAAGUAAGUUUGGACCCUCUGGAAUUCUGGUCCUUUUCUUCUAGGUUUCAGGCAUCAUUAUUGCAUAGGAGCUUUGAAGUCCAAAGUAAUCUAGAGUUAGAAUGACCAGACAUCCUGGUUUCUUGGAUUUUAUUUUAAGUGGGAGGGGAGUUACUGAAGGGGUGAUUAUAUAUCAGUUCACUUAAUCCUUAUACUUAUAUAUUAAUAGCCCAGGCUUGGUGGCUCACACUUGUAACCCCAGGACUUUGGGAGGCUGAGGCAGAAGGAUCGCUGAGCUCAGGAGAUUGAGAUCAGCCUGGGCAACACAGUAAGAUCCCCAUGUCUACCAAAAAUUUAAAAACUUCAGCCAGGUGUGGAGGUACACACGUGUAGUCCCACCUACGCAGGAGGCUGAGGAGAAUCACUUGAGUCCAGCAGGUUGAGGCUCAAUGAGCCAUAAUCACACCACUGCCACUACACUCCAGCCUGGGCGACAGAGUGAGAACCUGUCUCAAAAUAAAAAUAAAAAUAUUAUCAUACUUAAUAAUAACGCUCUGGGGGUAAACAUUGUUAUUCCCAUUGAUGCAUGAGAAGAGUAAGGCCCAGAAAGAAAAAAUAACCUGUCCAGAGCCUCACAAAUGGUAAACAAUAGAGUCUGGACUUGAUUCCAGAUCACUUGACCAACUGCCCUGAUUUGCAGAUCCUCUGAGUUCAACCAAAGAAAUGAGCACAAAAAAAUCUCUCUGUGCCUGCAGGUGUGACAUUCUUAACCCUGUCUUUAAUACAACUGCCACAUCCCAGCGUUCCUUGACAGACUGUGGAGCACACCUAAGCCACCUUGCUUGCCAUAGGGUUUGGCUCCAUGACCUUGAUGUGAGUUCAUAGAUUUGUUUGCAGUUGUGAAAAUUAAAUGAGAGAGCGAGAUUUCAUUGUGUGUGUGGAGUGUGUGUGUGUGUGUUGGGGGAGGGAGGAGAACAAACGAUUUUAAAUUCAGCCUAAAAUUAAAUGCACAUUGGAUGCAUGCCAAACGGACUCCACAACCACCAGACUUUGCAAGUUUCAACGAUUUCCAAGUCCUUCCUUUGUUUUUUUUUCUUUUUUUGAGACGGAGUCUCACUGUGUCGCCAGGCUGGAGUGCAGUGGUGCGAUCUUGGCUCACUGCAAGCUCUGCCUCCCAGGUUCAAGCAAUUCUCCUGCCUCAGCCUCCUGAGUAGCUGGGAUUACAGGCACGCACUACCACGCCCAGCUAAUUUUUGUAUUUUUAGUAGAGAUGGGGUUUCACUAUGUUGGCCAGGAUGGUCGCAAUCUCCUGACCUCAUGAUCCGUCUGCCUUGGCCUCCCAAAGUGCUGGGAUUACAGGCAUGAGCCACUGUGCCCAGCCUGCAAGCCCUUCUUCUGCCGAGUGCUAUGCUAGUUUCUAGAAGAAGAGGGAUGUUACUCAUUCAUCUGCUAUGCAUGGUCCACUAUGUUCCAAGGUGGGAGACGUGUACAGAGGUGAGCACCUCCAGCCUUCAGGCCACUUAUAUUCCCAGGUGUAGGUGAUAGAUAGGCAAAUGCGUGCACUCUGGUUGUUGAAGAUGUAGAGCAAUUGGACUCCUCCUGCACCACUUGUGGUCAUGUAAAAUGGUAUGGCCACUUUGGAGAACAUUCUGGCAGUUCCCUGUUUGGUUAAAUAUAGAGUUACCAUAUCACCCAGCAAUUCCACUCCUAGGUAUUUUACCCAAGAGAAAUGAAAACACAUGUUCACACACAGACUUGCACAUGACUGUUUAUAGCAGCAAUAUUCACAAUAGACAGAAGGUGGAAACAACCCAAAUGUCCAUUACAGGAUGAAUGGAUAAACAAAAUGUAGCAUAUGCAUACAAUUGCUUAUCCAUAAAAAGAAAUGAGGUUCUGACACAUGCUGUAAUAUGGAUGAACCUUGAACAUUACAGUAAGCGAAAGAAGCCAGUCACAGAGACCAUAUAUUUUAUAAUUCCAUUUAUAUGAAAUGCCCAGAAUGGGUCAAUCAUUAGAGACAGAAAGUAGGUUAGUGCUUGUUCAGGGAUGGGAGGACAUGAAGGAAGAGGGUAAUAACGGAAGGGUUUGGGCUUUCUUGAAGUGAUGAAAAUGUUCUAAGGUCAAUGGUGGUGGUGGUUUUACAAUUCUGCGAAUGUACUAAAAACCAUUGGAUUGUACGGUUUAAAUAGAUGAAUGAAAUGAUAUGUGAAUUAUAUAUCCAAAAAUGCUGUUAAAAACAAAACAAGUAUAUCCCGGACCAUCAGAGAGAAAAUAGAGUAGGAGUGUCUAAAUCUUUUUGUGUUGCUGUAAAGGAACACCACAGGAUGGAUAAUUUACAAAGGGAAGAGUUGGGAGGCCAAGGUGGGAGGACCACUUGAACCCAGGGCUUUGAGACCAGCCUGGGUAGCAGAGCGAGACCCUAUCUCUGUAAAAAAUUUAAAAAUUAGCCAGGCGUGGUGGUGCAUGCCUGUGAUUUCAGCUGCUCGGAAGGCCGAGACAGGAGGAUUGCUUGAGCCCAGGAGGCCAAGGGUGCAGUGAGCCAUGAUCAUGCCACUUCACUCCAGCCUCAGUGACAGAGUGAUACCCUGUCUCAAAAAAAGAAAAGAAGCUUAUUGACCUAGGGUUCUGCAGGCUGUACAAGAAGCAUGGCACCAGUAUUUACAUCUGGUGAGGACCUCAGGUUGCUUCCACUCAUGGCGGAAGGGAAAGGGGAGCUGGUGGGUGCAGAGGUCACAUGACACAAGAGAAAGCAAGAGAGAUAGGAAGAGGUGCCAGGCUCUUUUAAGCAACCAGCUGUCAAGGGAACUAACAGAGUGAGAACACACUCACUAUAGCAAGGAUGGCACCAACACACUCAUUGGGGGUCCACCCCCAUGGCCCCAAUGCCUCCUGCUAGGCCCCACCUCCAACACUGGGGAUGAGAUUACAACAUGAGACUUGGAGGGGAGAACUAUCUAAACUGUAUCAAGGAACCUAGGCAUGGGGGCUCACGCCUGUAAUCGCAGCACUUUGGGAGGCCAAGGCAAGCUGAGGUCAGGAGUUCGAGACCAGCCUGGCCAACAUGGUGAAACCCCAUCUCUACUAAAAAUACAAAAAUUGGCUGGGUGUGAUGGAACACACCUGUAGUGCCAGCUGCUCGGGAGGCUGAGGUGGGAGGAUUGCUUGAACCCAGGAGGCAGAGGUUGCAGUGACCCCAGAUUGCACCACUGCACUCCAAUCUGAGGGAUACAGUGAGAUCCCAUCUCACUGUAUUUGUGUGUGUAUUUGACCUAAAAUGAGUUAAUAAGAGUUGGACUUGCUACAAAAGCACCACCAAUGUUUCCAAUUUUUCAGCCACGUUUUUUGUUAUUGUUUUUUGUUUGCUUGAGAUAGGUCUUGCUUUGUCAUCCAGGGUGGAGUGCAAUGGUGCAAUCUCGGCUCACUGCAGCCUUGACCCCCUGGGCUCAAGCAAUCCUCCCACUUCACCCUCCUGAGUAGCCGGGACUACAGGGGCAGGCCACUACACCCUUCAGCCACGUUUCCAAAGUGGGGAGGAUGGUUAGGAUGCCUGGGUUCUGCCACAGUUUGUGAUAAGGUCACUGAUGAGGUGAUCAAUUGAGUCAGGAAGGCCUGUGGGAUCAGUGAUACAGAGGAGGACUGUGGAGUUGAGAGUCCUCAGCUGGAGUUCUGGCUCCAAGAUUGCUGGACCCUGGGCUCACCCCAGCACUUAAGAGCUGGUUGUUAAGUUUUCAGGAAUUUCACAAGCUGGUUGUUAAACACAAUCUUUAAAAAAAUUAAAUUCUACAAACUAAAAUUUAUUUUAUUUUAUGUAUAUGUAUAUAAAAAGAGAGAGGACAGGGCUUCACUCUGCCACCCAGGCUGGUGCGCAAUGGCGCGACCAUGGCUCACUGCCUCCUGAUUCUCCCACCUCAGUCUCCCAAGUAGCUGGGACUACAGGCGCAUGCCACCACACCUGGCUAAUUUUUUGUAUUAUUUGAAGAAAUGAGGUUUCACUAGAUUGCCAGGGCUGGUCUCAAACUCCGGGAGUCAAGCAGUCCUCCCGCCUCAGCCUCCUAAAUUGUUGGGAGUAUAGGCAUGAGCCACUGCACCCGGCCCAAACUUAAAUUUAAAUAAAUGAUAUUAAAACCAAAGGAUGCGGGGCGCGGUGGCUCACGCCUGUAAUCCCAGCACUUUGGGAGACUGAGUGGGGUGGAUCACUUGAGGUCAGGAGUUCGAGACCAGCCUGGCCAACAUGGUAAAACCCCUGUCUCUACUAAAAAAUACAAAAAAUUAGCCGGGCAUGGUGGUAGAAGUCUGUAAUCCCAGCUACUCGGGAGGCUGAGGCAGGAGAAUCGCUUGAACCCGGGAGGCAGAAGUUGCAGUGAGCUGAGAUCACACCAUUGCACUCCAGCCUGGGCAACAAGAGCAAAACUCCAUCUCAAAAAUAAAUAAAAAAAUAAAAUUAAAAAUAAAACCAAAGGAUAUUCCAAGUGACAUAAUCUAGACACAGAAGGACAAAUACUGUACUACUCCGUUUAUAUGAGGUGGAUCUAUUUAAGUGAAGUCUUACAAUAAUCUAAAAUAGGCCAAUUCAUAAAGACAGAAAAUAGAAGAGAAAUUCCUAGGGGCUGGAAGGAGGGAAAAGGGAACAGGCAGUUAGUUUUUAACGAGUUGGUGUUUGGGAUGAUUUAAAAGAAAAUUUCUGAAAGCAGUGGUGAUGUUGAUGCAACAUUGUGACUAUACUUAAUGCCACUGAAUUACACACUAGUUAAAAUGGUAAAUGUCAUGCUUUGUACAUUUUAUCACACACACACACACAAAAAAUUUAGGCCGGGCACGGUGGCUCACACCUGUAAUCCCAGCACUUUGGGAGGCUGAGGCAGGCAGAUCACGAUGUCAGG